UCUGUGCGAAAAAAAAACAUGAAAACGUAAGUUACGGUACCUGUGAACUUAAAUAUCAUUAAAAUGAGACUUCAGCAAAUACUCCGCAAUGUUUCAAAAUUCAGAACAGUUUUCGAUUUUGGCGGACGAGAUAUUGCGCAUUGGUUCCCUGGCCAUAUGGCAAAAGGUCUGAGACAGAUGAAAGCGAAUCUGAGAAAUGUGGAUUGCAUAUUAGAAAUUCACGACGCCAGAAUACCAUGCACUGGGAGGAAUCCAGUCUUUCAAGAAAGCUUAAACGUCCGACCACAUUUGCUGAUAUUGAACAAAUUGGAUCUGGCCGAUCCAUCCAGCAAGCAGAGAGUUCUCAAACAGCUGGAGAAAAGUGGUGUGGAGAAUGUUCUGUUCACAGACUGCCAAAGACAGAUAGAUGCUAACAUUAAAAAGAUCGUUCCCAUGGUGACACAGCUGAUUGAGAGCAGGCCUCGUUACCAUAAGGAAGAGGACACAUAUUACUGCUUGAUGGUAAUCGGAGUACCAAAUGUGGGGAAGUCAUCGCUAAUUAAUGCACUGAGGAGAACAAAUAUGAAGAAAGGCGGUAGAGCUUCUAAAGUUGGAGGUGAGCCAGGCAUAACCAAGGCUGUCUUAACCAAAAUCCAGGUCUGUGAGAGACCUGCCUUGUUUUUGGUUGACACACCUGGAGUGCUUCCUCCGAAAAUUGAAAGCGUAGAGACGGGGAUGAAGCUAGCCUUGUGUGGAACAAUAUUGGACCAUUUAGUCGGUGAAGACAUUAUGGCUGACUAUUUGCUAUACUCCCUGAACAGACUUGAAAAGUUCAGUUACGUGGAUCAGUAUGACCUUGGCGAACCCAGCGAUGACGUCCAGCACGUCCUGAAGCGCAUCGCCGUCAAGCUGGGAAAAACCCAGAGAGUCAAGGCCAUCACCGGAGUGGGUGAGGCAACAGUAACCUAGUGCCUUUAAAAAAAAAAUGCUUUUCAGUAUUUCAGGUUUAAUGCAUGCUUUUUAAUAACCCAGUUUUUGUGUGAAAUGAAAUAUUGAAAUAUGUGUUUGUUAUAUAUAGCCUAGUCCCUGUGGGUUUCCGGGGAACUUCCUGCUCCACUGUUAUUUGCAUUGUAGAUGUCCCUGGCUUAUGAUUUGCAUAGUGGCAUUCUGUUCUUCUGAACAUUUACUGUAAUUUACACCGCAGACAUUACUCAAGGGUGAAUAGGCAAAGCUACACCGGGGAGUGGAACCUUCAGCCAUCUUUUAAGCCCAGUUUCCUUGACAACUAUUCCAUUUAAAAUGGACCCCCCCCCCCCCC
This is an RNA transcript of Anguilla anguilla (European eel), 1297 nucleotides long. It is a transcript of the gene named mitochondrial ribosome-associated GTPase 1, with no coding region annotated. The record is from RefSeq and is a predicted model, not a curated record. NCBI's taxonomy places the organism in Eukaryota, Metazoa, Chordata, Actinopteri, Anguilliformes, Anguillidae. The transcript is spliced from 11 exons.